Molecule: transfer RNA, 62 nt
Filed under: Hemisodorcus derelictus
Lineage: Eukaryota; Metazoa; Arthropoda; Insecta; Coleoptera; Lucanidae
Description: tRNA-Pro
Source: RNAcentral
CAGGAAGUAGUUUAUAAAAAUAUUAAUUUUGGAGAUUAAUGAUGAAGUUGUUUCCUUCCUGA